GAUGAAGAACGUAGCGAAAUGCGAUAAGUAGUGUGAAUUGCAGAAGUACCGUGAAUCAUCGAAUCUUUGAACGCAAAUUGCACUCUCUGGUAUUCCGGGGAGUAUGCCUGUUUGAGGGUCGCUUAACAAACCAUCGAUUUCGUUGCUUUUUUUUUUAAAGUGAUGUUUAUCGGAUUUGAGCCGUCUUUUUUUUUUUAUUUAAGUGGCUUAAAAUUGAUUUUUUUUGUACGAUCGAAGCGUAUUUUUAUGAUCAAUUUUUGGUUAAAGAAACGCACACGUACCGUUAUUUAUAUGAUGUAAUACGUUUGACUAUUGGAUUUAGUUCAUUCGUAUACGAUAUCUUUCAAUAUUUGACCUCAAAUCAGGUAAGAACACCCGCUGAACUUAAGCAUAUCAAUAAGCGGAGGA
RNAcentral lists this unclassified non-coding RNA (408 nucleotides) under soil metagenome. RNAcentral describes it as "partial contains 5.8S ribosomal RNA, internal transcribed spacer 2, and large subunit ribosomal RNA". The stretch from base 1 to 121 matches the Rfam family "5.8S ribosomal RNA", at positions 35 to 154 of the family's 154-position model. The record is from RNAcentral.